CAGUCGCCGCGGUAAGACGAACCGUGCGAACGUUAUUCGGAAUCACUGGGCUUAAAGCGCGUGUAGGCGGGACGGCACGUCGACUGCUGAAAUCCCUCGGCUUAACCGAGGAAGUGGCAUCGAUACGACCGUCCUGGAGGAACGUAGGGGGACCUGGAACUUCCGGUGGAGCGGUGAAAUGCGUUGAGAUCUGAAGGAACGCCCGUGGCGGAAGCGAGGUCCUGGACGUUUUCUGACGCUGAGACGCGAAAGCUAGGGGAGCGAACGGGAUUAGAUACCCCGGUAGUCCCUGUCUCUUAUA
Molecule: ribosomal RNA, 301 nt
Filed under: uncultured bacterium
Lineage: Bacteria
Description: partial 16S ribosomal RNA
Rfam family: Bacterial small subunit ribosomal RNA
Source: RNAcentral